Long non-coding RNA from Oncorhynchus keta (chum salmon), 1396 nucleotides. RefSeq lists it as uncharacterized. NCBI's taxonomy places the organism in Eukaryota, Metazoa, Chordata, Actinopteri, Salmoniformes, Salmonidae. The record is from RefSeq and is a predicted model, not a curated record. The transcript has 3 exons.
CCCUCCUCUUGGAGUGUCUUUCCCAUUGCUAGGUCUGUACUGAUAUGGCUGUCUCUAAGCCAACCCUCCUCUUGGAGUGUCUUUCCCCAUUGUUAGGUCUGUACUGAUAUGGCUGUCUCUAAGCCAACCCUCCUCUUGGAGUGUCUUUCCCCAUUGUUAGGUCUGUACUGAUAUGGCUGUCUCUAAGCCAACCCUCCUCUUGGAGUGUCUUUCCCCAUUGAUAGGUCUGUACUGAUAUGGCUGUCUCAAAGCCAACCCUCCUCUUGGAGUGUCUUUUCCCAUUGUUAGGUCUGUACUGAUAUGGCUGUCUCUAAGCCAACCCUCCUCUUGGAGUGUCUUUCCCCAUUGUUAGGUCUGUACUGAUAUGGCUGUCUCUAAGCCAACCCUCCUCUUGGAGUGUCUUUCCCCAUUGUUAGGUCUGUACUGAUAUGGCUGUCUCUAAGCCAACCCUCCUCUUGGAGUGUCUUUCCCCAUUGUUAGGUCUGUACUGAUAUGGCUGUCUCUAAGCCAACCCUCCUCGUGGAGUGUCUUUCCCCAUUGUUAGGUCUGUACUGAUAUGGCUGUCUCUAAGCCAACCCUCCUCGUGGAGUGUCUUUCCCCAUUGUUAGGUCUGUACUGAUAUGGCUGUCUCUAAGCCAACCCUCCUCUUGGAGUGUCUUUCCCCAUUGUUAGGUCUGUACUGAUAUGGCUGUCUCUAAGCCAACCCUCCUCUUGGAGUGUCUUUCCCCAUUGUUAGGUCUGUACUGAUAUGGCUGUCUCUAAGCCAACCCUCCUCUUGGAGUGUCUUUCCCCUUUGUUAGGUCUGUACUGAUAUGGCUGUCUCUAAGCCAACCCUCCUCGUGGAGUGUCUUUCCCAUUGCUACAGGCUGUUGCUCCAGCUCAUACCUUUUUGUUGGGGGUAUGUUUUGAAUCUGUGCUUGAGAGUGGGAAAGUUCCUAUAGAGAAGGGCGCUACAUUCCUUAUCACGGUGUGUUUGCCAGUACACACACUCUUGUGACACACGUGUGUGUUUAAAACAGAAUAUCUCUCUCUGCUGAAUGCAUUGGUUAUUUUAAACAAGGUGCUUAGAGAAUGCUUCUAUUGCUCCUAUGCAGUCUUUCCCCAUGACACAAAAACAGACUCCUUAAUAAAGCCACAGAUUCAAUUUGAAUAGCAUUAAUAAAUAGUGAAAUUUGCAAACGGAAUGCUUCAAAUUCCCCAAAAUACGAAUAACAUUAAAAGUUGGAUCUGGGGACCGCAUAUUUUGUUUUUGGGUAAAAUUAGAAAGGAGUUGUUUUUAUUCCUAUUGUUACACAUGCAUUAUGUUUGGGAGCAAUGGGAAAUAAAAAACAAAAAGUUGUUUGCACACAAAACAGAUAUAUACAUCUUAGCAAGAUUCGUCCACCUCUUUCAGCUA